This 414-nucleotide ribosomal RNA is filed under the name uncultured microorganism. RNAcentral describes it as "bacterial SSU rRNA". It matches the Rfam family "Archaeal small subunit ribosomal RNA", at positions 330 to 745 of the family's 1478-position model. The record is from RNAcentral.
GCGCAGCAGGCGCGAAUCCUUCGCAAUGCGGGAAACCGCGACGAGGGGACUCCCAGUGCCUACGCUCAGCGUAGGCUGUUCCCGAGCCUAGAAAGCUCGGGGAGUAAGGGCUGGGUAAGACGGGUGCCAGCCGCCGCGGUAAUACCCGCAGCCCGAGUGGUGGCCACUAUUAUUGGGCCUAAAGCGUCCGUAGCCGGCCCGGUAAAUGCCUGGGUAAAUCGUGAGGCCUAACCUCACGAAUUCCGGGUAGACUGCCGGGCUAGGGACCGGAGGAGGGAGAGGGGUACUCCAGGGGUAGGGGUGAAAUCCUGUAAUCCCUGGAGGACCACCGGUGGCGAAGGCGCUCUCCUAGGACGGGUCCGACGGUGAGGGACGAAAGCCAGGGGAGCGAACCGGAUUAGAUACCCGUGUAGU